This 442-nucleotide ribosomal RNA is filed under the name uncultured bacterium. RNAcentral's name for it is "partial 16S ribosomal RNA". It matches the Rfam family "Bacterial small subunit ribosomal RNA", at positions 338 to 795 of the family's 1533-position model. The record is from RNAcentral.
CCUACGGGUGGCUGCAGUACGGAAUCUUUCACAAUGGGCGAAAGCCUGAUGGAGCAACGCCGCGUGCAGGAUGAAGGCCCUCGGGUUGUAAACUGCUUUUAUUAGCGAGAAAUAUGAUGGUAACUUAUGAAUAAGGAUCGGCUAACUACGUGCCAGCAGCCGCGGUCAUACGUAGGAUCCGAGCAUAAUCCGGAGUGACUGGGUGUAAAGAGUUGCGUAGGUGGCAUACUAAGUAGCUAGGGAAAUCUGGUGGCGCAACCAUUCAGACUAUUAGCUAAACUGUUAAGCUCGAGACCGUUAGGGGUAACUGGAAUUUCUAGUGUAGGGGUGAAAUGCGUAGAUAUUAGAAAGAACACCGAUAGCGUGGGCAGGUUACUGGGACGGUUCUGACACUAAGGCACGAAAGCGUAGGGAGCAAACGGGAUUAGAUACCCUAGUAGUC